RNAcentral lists this ribosomal RNA (253 nucleotides) under uncultured bacterium. Its description in RNAcentral is "partial 16S ribosomal RNA". It matches the Rfam family "Bacterial small subunit ribosomal RNA", at positions 524 to 776 of the family's 1533-position model. The record is from RNAcentral.
UACAGAGGUCUCAAGCGUUGUUCGGAUUCAUUGGGGGUAAAGGGUGCGUAGGCGGCGCGGUAAGUCGGGUGUGAAAUUUCGAGGCUUAACUUCGAAACUGCAUUCGAUACUGCCGUGCUUGAGGACUGGAGAGGAGACUGGAAUUUACGGUGUAGCGGUGAAAUGCGUAGAUAUCGUAAGGAAGACCAGUGGCGAAGGCGGGUCUCUGGACAGUUCCUGACGCUGAGGCACGAAAGCGUGGGGAGCAAACAGG